RNAcentral lists this ribosomal RNA (437 nucleotides) under uncultured bacterium. RNAcentral's name for it is "partial 16S ribosomal RNA". It matches the Rfam family "Bacterial small subunit ribosomal RNA", at positions 29 to 507 of the family's 1533-position model. The record is from RNAcentral.
AGCGAACGCUGGCGGCAGGCUUAACACAUGCAAGUCGAGCGGGCAUCCUUGUGGUGUCAGCGGCAGACAGGUGAGUAACGCGUGGGAACGUGCCCUUCGGUUCGGAAUAACUCAGGGAAACUUGAGCUAAUACCGGAUACGUGCGAGAGCAGAAAGGUUUAUCUGCCGAAGGAUCGGCCCGCGUCUGAUUAGCUAGUUGGUGAGGUUAUGGCUCACCAAGGCGACGAUCAGUAGCUGGUCUGAGAGGAUGAUCAGCCACACUGGGACUGAGACACGGCCCAGACUCCUACGGGAGGCAGCAGUGGGGAAUAUUGGACAAUGGGGGCAACCCUGAUCCAGCCAUGCCGCGUGAGUGAUGACGGCCUUAGGGUUGUAAAGCUCUUUUCUCCGGGACGAUAAUGACGGUACCGGAGGAAUAAGCCCCGGCUAACUUCGUG